UACCCUACGGUCUCUCUCAGGUCCGCCGCAACUCCUGGGUUCCGUAGGGCGGCUGGUCCGAACGGACAGAGUGGCCUCUUCGACAUGCCGCUCGGACCAGCCAACCU
This 107-nucleotide small RNA is filed under the name Paradevosia tibetensis. RNAcentral describes it as "Youhaiella tibetensis EcpR1". It matches the Rfam family "EcpR1". Rfam says of the family: Perviously named SmelC291, SmrC10, or Sra33. According to its overproduction phenotype it was renamed Elongated Cell Phenotype RNA1. Induced by stress,EcpR1 negatively regulates cell cycle master regulatory genes dnaA and gcrA at post-transcriptional level by base pairing between its strongly conserved GC-rich loop and the target mRNAs. Lineage: Bacteria; Pseudomonadati; Pseudomonadota; Alphaproteobacteria; Hyphomicrobiales; Devosiaceae. The record is from Rfam by way of RNAcentral.